RNAcentral lists this ribosomal RNA (253 nucleotides) under uncultured bacterium. Its description in RNAcentral is "partial 16S ribosomal RNA". It matches the Rfam family "Bacterial small subunit ribosomal RNA", at positions 524 to 776 of the family's 1533-position model. The record is from RNAcentral.
UACGUAGGGUGCAAGCGUUAUCCGGAUUCACUGGGUUUAAAGGGUGCGUAGGUGGGUCUGUAAGUCAGUGGUGAAAUCCCCGAGCUUAACUUGGGAACUGCCGUUGAUACUAUAGAUCUUGAAUAUCGUGGAGGUAAGCGGAAUAUGUCAUGUAGCGGUGAAAUGCUUAGAUAUGACAUAGAAUACCUAUUGCGAAGGCAGCUUACUACGCAGAUAUUGACGCUCAUGCACGAAAGCGUGGGGAUCAAACAGG